GAUGAACGCUGGCGGCGUGCUUAACACAUGCAAGUCGAACGGGAAUUAUUUUAUUGAAACUUCGGUCGAUAUGAUUUAAUUCUAGUGGCGGACGGGUGAGUAACGCGUGGGUAACCUGCCUUGUACAGGGGGAUAACAGUCAGAAAUGACUGCUAAUACCGCAUAAGCGCACAGGACCGCAUGGUCCGGUGUGAAAAACUCCGGUGGUAUAAGAUGGACCCGCGUUGGAUUAGCUAGUUGGUGAGGUAACGGCCCACCAAGGCGACGAUCCAUAGCCGGCCUGAGAGGGUGAACGGCCACAUUGGGACUGAGACACGGCCCAGACUCCUACGGGGGGCAGCAGUGGGGAAUAUUGCACAAUGGGGGAAACCCUGAUGCAGCGACGCCGCGUGAAGGAAGAAGUAUCUCGGUAUGUAAACUUCUAUCAGCAGGGAAGAAAAUGACGG
RNAcentral lists this ribosomal RNA (446 nucleotides) under uncultured bacterium. RNAcentral describes it as "bacterial SSU rRNA". It matches the Rfam family "Bacterial small subunit ribosomal RNA", at positions 28 to 457 of the family's 1533-position model. The record is from RNAcentral.